UGCUAUGAUUAAAUGGGCACAAGAUGUUGGACAUAACAUAAUGAUGGCUGACUGGGAACAGUUAUGGACCACAGGUAUGAAGUUUACGGCAUGCAAUGCCUUAAGAGAGAAUAUUAUGAAAAUGAUAUACAGGUGGUACAUGACCCCAGUCAAGCUUGCAAAAAUCUAUCAUUUGCCCGACAAUAAAUGCUGGAAAUGUAAAGAAACUGGAGGUACAUUCUUUCACCUUUGGUGGACGUGCCCAAGGAUUAAGGCUUUCUGGGAAAUGAUAUAUAAUGAACUGAAAAAGGUAUUUAAACAUACCUUCUUGAAGAAACCAGAGGCCUUUCUCCUGGGCAUAGUCGGCCAAUUGGUGCCAAAGAAGGACAGAACUUUUUUUAUGUAUGCCACAACAGCAGCAAGAAUACUCAUUGCAAAGUAUUGGAAGAUACAAGAUUUACCCACUUUGGAAGAAUGGCAGAUGAAGCUGAUGGACUAUAUGGAACUGGCAGAAAUGACUGGCAGAAUCCGAGACCAGGGAGAAGAGUCGGUGGAAGAAGAUUGGAAGAAAUUCAAAGAUUAUCUACAGAAAUAUUGUAAAAUUAAUGAAUGUUAGAAUGAUGUUGGAUAGUAAUUAAGUGGUUUCCAGCUGUAAUGCUUUAAGGGAAUAUGAAAAAAGGGUUAUAAAUAGCCAAAAAUCAAAUAUUAUUACUUUUAAAGGAUUUGCUGAACCAACAGAUUGAAGUGGAAUACAAAAAAGGGAGGUAUGAGGAGGUCCGGGAAAUAAGUCAAAGGAAAAUAAGUAAUGGAAAAUCUGUGUGUUUUUAACUAUUUUUAUUUUGUACUUUUGUUAUUUUUUUUUCCUUUUCAUUUUUAUUGUAAUAUUUUAAAAAAAUCUUAAUAAAUAUCUUAU
This 892-nucleotide long non-coding RNA is filed under the name Podarcis lilfordi (Lilford's wall lizard). Lineage: Eukaryota; Metazoa; Chordata; Lepidosauria; Squamata; Lacertidae. The record is from RNAcentral.